GACGAACGCUGGCGGCGUGCUUAACACAUGCAAGUCGAACGGUAAGGCCCUUCGGGGUACACGAGUGGCGAACGGGUGAGUAACACGUGGGUGAUCUGCCCUGCACUUCGGGAUAAGCCUGGGAAACUGGGUCUAAUACCGGAUAGGACCACUGCCUGCAUGGGUGGUGGUGGAAAGCUUUUGCGGUGUGGGAUGGGCCCGCGGCCUAUGAGCUUGUUGGUGGGGUGAUGGCCGACCAAGGCGACGACGGGUAGCCGGCCUGAGAGGGUGACCGGCCACACUGGGACUGAGAUACGGCCCAGACUCCUACGGGAGGCAGCAGUGGGGAAUAUUGCACAAUGGGCGCAAGCCUGAUGCAGCGACGCCGCGUGAGGGAUGACGGCCUUCGGGUUGUAAACCUCUUUCAGCACCGACGAAGCGCAAGUGACGGUAGGCGCAGAAGAAGGACCGGCCAACUACGUGCCAGCCGCCGCCGUAA
RNAcentral lists this ribosomal RNA (478 nucleotides) under uncultured bacterium. RNAcentral describes it as "partial 16S ribosomal RNA". It matches the Rfam family "Bacterial small subunit ribosomal RNA", at positions 28 to 523 of the family's 1533-position model. The record is from RNAcentral.